RNAcentral lists this ribosomal RNA (305 nucleotides) under uncultured bacterium. RNAcentral's name for it is "bacterial SSU rRNA". It matches the Rfam family "Bacterial small subunit ribosomal RNA", at positions 335 to 654 of the family's 1533-position model. The record is from RNAcentral.
ACUCCUACGGGAGGCAGCAGUGGGGAAUAUUGCACAAUGGGGGGAACCCUGAUGCAGCAAUGCCGCGUGAAGGAUGAAGGUUUUCGGAUUGUAAACUUCUUUUGUACGGGACGAAGAAAGUGACGGUACCGUAAGAAUAAGCCACGGCUAACUACGUGCCAGCAGCCGCGGUAAUACGUAGGUGGCAAGCGUUGUCCGGAUUUACUGGGUGUAAAGGGCGUGCAGCCGGAGAGACAAGUCAGAUGUGAAAUCCACGGGCUCAACCCGUGAACUGCAUUUGAAACUGUUUCCCUUGAGUGUCGGAG